CCCUUCCUGGGCACGUCCCUCUAUCACCUGAAGCUGCUGAACAUUGGGAUGGAGGAUGAUCUGGAAGGAAAUCGGGUCAACUUCCAGAAAUGGUAUGAGAUAAGCAGCUUCAUCAGGAGGAUCCAGCUGCUCCAGCAGGCUGCAAAUGCGUAUGACCUGGAGGCCGAAGAGCGAUUUGGGGCCUGGUUCCAGGCCAUG
This is a long non-coding RNA of Diceros bicornis minor, 198 nucleotides long. RefSeq lists it as uncharacterized. NCBI's taxonomy places the organism in Eukaryota, Metazoa, Chordata, Mammalia, Perissodactyla, Rhinocerotidae. The transcript has 3 exons. The record is from RefSeq and is a predicted model, not a curated record.